Cyclopterus lumpus (lumpfish) is the source of this 1904-nucleotide long non-coding RNA. RefSeq lists it as uncharacterized. Lineage: Eukaryota; Metazoa; Chordata; Actinopteri; Perciformes; Cyclopteridae. The record is from RefSeq and is a predicted model, not a curated record. The transcript has 3 exons.
AGCUGCUGAGUGGUUUUCUGGAGAGUCCACAUUGUAGUCUGGAGACUCUGAGAUGGAAGUGAUCAGCUGAGUGCUGAUGAUCCAUCUGGAGACGGACUCCACCUGGAUUUGAUUUAGUCGACCACACAGCAGAAGACUUUUAAAAGACCAGAAGAAGAAGAUGUCCAAGACACAACAACAUGUGUGUGUGUGUCAACUUUAUGAUCCAACAGACAAGUUUUUAUUUUCUGCAGAAAUAAUAAUCAAAUAUUAAUUUACAAUACCGAUUUAUAAAGCUCAUUAUAAUAUGAUAUUUUAGUAAUUAUGAGAAAAAUUUAAAGUAAUAAAUACAGUGAGAGACUGUUCCAAUAGAGUGCUAUGAUCUCUGUGGUUGACCUUUGCUCUGCAUCCUUCCAGGAGAUAAUCAUCCUGAAAGUGCUUUUCUUUUCUAGGCGAACCUGAAAAUUCAAUUUUUGCUGUGUUUGAUCUUUAUUUACUCUUAACCAGUAACAAAUAUACCAUUAAAGCUGCAAGCAGCGAUGGGUCCUCGUUCCGCCUUCACGUCGGGGGUGCUGGCCGGUCGCCGGCUCAAGCGUCCCAGCAUACACAUAUUCCCGGGCAGCAGAACAAGGAAGUGUCUAUAUACUUACUGGUCUCUGCAGUAUCGAUUACCCAUCUCUGGAACAGAUAUUCUAUUUCUUAUAUUGAGAGUUCUAUGAUUAAGGUGUUUUUACGCUGCAGACCGCAUAACGGGAGCAGCUGACUUGGUGGUAGAGUCUCUAUAUAGUGUGUGCACUCUAGAAUAUAAUCUAUGUGUGAUGUAUGUAUUUGAUAUACUCUGUACUACAAUGCCAUUCUUUUUUAAGUCUUGUACUGAUGUGUACUAUUGAGAGGUCACUGUUGUAUCCUUGAUUGUCUUAAGCUGUAUGAGCAGGUGUUGCCAACUGAGUCCGGAGUUUCUGUGAAAAUUGAUAUCAAACAAUUCAAGUCAUAAAUUAAGGAGCUUCUCCCAAAGAUUAAGAAAGGGGGAGAUAUGGGUCCCUGAGGAUAAGGUCACUGCAGCCUGGGAAGGAGGAGGAUGGGGCCCAGCUUAUCCCCCGGACGGUCAAAAGUUAAAGGAGAGGUCUUCGUUUUGGUUUUCUAAACCGAUACAGCCCGUCAGAUAUUGAUUUUUCAAAUCUCCGCACUUUGUGGCGAACACUUUACGCAUUAGCUAGAAUUUCACUUAUUUGUUAAUCCUUUUUCACUCUUGUGUUAAAUAAAUAAAUACAUACUGCAUUGCAGUUUAAUUAAUGAAUGAAGUCGUUUUCCAGCCUUUUCUGAGCCAUCACUUCAUCAGUUCCGACUGACGUCGUCAUCAGCCCCUGAGGUGAGUUGAGCUACAUCCCCACGGCUACACAAACUGAUACGGACACACUUAUUCCCUGCACACAUUUGGCUUUGAAAGGAGAGAAAUACCACUGGGGGGACCCCUGACUUUCAGUCGGACUUCUUUUUGUCUACAGGUUGUCUACAGGCUUCAGGGUUUGUCACAAAGUAUUAAGUCUGAGUGUUUGAUCCGAUCCCUAUCCGGCCGUUAUAGCUAUGAAUAAAUAACGACGGUGUACACUUUACCUGGUUGGGUUAGAAUAUUCCUAACGCUAAUUAAAAACCAGGUUUCUCUCCGGGGAGGUCAUCCGAGGCACGAACGGGGUGCCGCGUGACCGUGCGGCGCAGUUGACGACAGUGUCACGGUGCACAGGCUUCCAGGGCAACGAUCCUGGAGUAACCCCCUUUUUACUCCUCCACUGCCGCUGUGCACGACAAUAGAUGACAAUAGAGAUCAUGCAGAUUAUUGAUAUUAGGGGAUAGGAAUGUAUGUUUUAGGGUAUUGCACAUAAGUAUUGCACUCUGCUAUUCUCUAUUACCAGGUUGUUCCAGCAGCC